RNAcentral lists this long non-coding RNA (2804 nucleotides) under Gossypium barbadense (sea-island cotton). RNAcentral describes it as "long non-coding RNA (GBAR_LNC003336)". Lineage: Eukaryota; Viridiplantae; Streptophyta; Magnoliopsida; Malvales; Malvaceae. The record is from RNAcentral.
UUCCCCACCGAAAAUGGCAGCAAACAAGGGGGUUUUAAGAGCUUAAGCUUUCAGCCACUUAGUUCUCUUGUAAGUAAGUGAUUUUGAUGACUUUUCUUGAUGAUUUUUACACUUUUGGGACCCUUGUAGUAUGAACUAGCUAAUGGGGGGACUAUUUUACAAAAUUGUUGAAAGUCUAGGGUUUUUCCAUGAGAUAAUUUAUGUUUUUCUGAAUUUUUAUGGAAGAAAAUAAGUCUUGCUUGUGUAAUAAACAACUUUUGUGAAAGAGGUUUGCAUGAAAACACCUAAAAAGGGCUAUUUUGUAAAGUUAUAAAACAAGUUGUAAAUGUGUGAAAUAAUUAAAAUUGUGAGUUGCUAUAGUUAUAAAAAGAAUUUGGCUAGGCUUGGUAAAGGAAGAAAUUCGAUAAAAAUCGAUUUAUGAGCCUAAGGGAAAAAUCAUAAUUUUUGUAAAGUCUAAGGGCAAAACGGUUAUUUUGCUAAAUUUUGAAUUAUAGGAUGUUUUAAUUAAUGUAAUGAUUAAAUGAGUGAAUUUAAUCAUGUUAGAUCAAGGAAAUCGAGAUUUGGGCUUAAAUCGAAAAGUACGAGAUUAUGGACUAAAAUGGAGUAAUUGGUCGAAAUUUACAUUCGAGGUAAGUUCGUAUGAUAAUAAUAGUGCAAUGCUAUGUUUGAAUUAUUAUUCUUUACUAUGUUGCAUAUAUUAUAUGAUUUAAUAUAUAUAUAUUGGAAAAGUUGAUGAAAUGGUGUAUAUGAUGUGGAAAUAUGACAUGGAAGAAUAUUACAUGAAAUACAAGAAAAUGAUGAUCCAUGACAAGUGAUAUAUGCAAUAUGUGAUAUAUGUUAUGUAAAUUCUUAAAAGCUUAUUUUCUAUUUGAGUUAUGCUUUAUUAUGCUAUGAAAGGACAAUUGAUACUAUGGAUAGUGAGAUCGACACUUCGAGUAAGUUCGACAGAGAUGGAGUAUCGAAAAAUCCCUUCUGAACCUUAGGAAUAGUCUAGGGUACAAGUGACAAGUCACUAGGAAUUAAGAAAUCUGAACUUGUUGAGUUAGUCCAAGUUCGUGAUAUAUAUGAAGCAUCUGAGCUCGUUGAAGGUCCGAGUUCAUUAUGGAUGUGAGCAUCCGAACUCGUUGAAUUGGUCUGAGUUCAUAAUGGAUGCGAUACAUGUAAUUGGGUUCCGGGCAAUGGUCUUAUGUGCCUUGUUGGUGGCUAGGUAAUCCUUGAGUUGGUCGGAUACCUGAUAGCUUAUGUGAGUAGCCCGUGUAGCUACACCUUGACUGAUAGCUUCUAUAAGCAAACCCGUGAGUAGCUCCAUUGUGAGCGUUACAUGUUAUGAGUAGCUUUGGCUACAUAUGUAUAUGUGCAAGUUUUUCGUGUAUCUAAUAGUAUUCCGAGGGUUCAACGGGUAAUGCAAUAGAUGUGAUCCUGGGGAGGGCAUGUUAAAGAGGUAUGGUUAUAUGAUAUAUUACGAUGAGUACAAGUAUGUACACUAAGCUUAUGGUUAUUGAGACUUUGAAAUGUUGAGACAUCGGUGAGCUAAGAUGUAUGAAUUAUGAUUAUAAAUUUUGUUGCAGUAUCAUGUUAACUUAUAUUGUGCAUUUGAACAUGGAAUUCAUGAAAUGGUGAGUUCAUGAUUAGUUGAAAGUGAACUUACGAUAGUUAUCAUUAUAUUGCACUAAAACAGUGUUGAACAACAAUAGUUGUAUGAUUUUGAAAAUCCACCAAAAAUUAUGGAAAUUGAGUUAGAGGCUGAAUAAAUAUGAAAUUAAAUCUCAAUGAGUCUAGUUUCACAUAGAAGAAACGAUGUAAGCAAAAGAGUUUCAUAUUAUGAAAUAUUUAAAUUUUUGUGAGAUUGAGUUAGAAUGAUUUCGAAAUCCCCUAUUCUGAUUUGAGAAAAUUAUUGGAAAUUGUAAAAAAAUAUUUAUGGGUUAUAAUUUAUAUGCUUAGAAUUAUUAAUGAGUCGAUUUUUAAAAUAAAUAGACAGGAAUGUCAUUUGAGUCCCGUAUUAUGAGAUAAUUAAUUUUUAGUGAAGAGGGGUCGGAACUAUUAGACAGCAAAAAAAGGGUAAUUUUAAGGAAUAAACUAUACUUAUUGGCUAGACCAAAAAUUUUGAAAAUUCUAUGGUAGAAAUAUAUGUGAGUCUAGUUUCAAAAAACAAUUUCGGAUCUUAAAUUGGAGUUCCGUAGCUCCAGAUAUAAAUAAUUUAGUAACUAUGACUCGAGAAAACAACUUGACUAGAACAUAAGUAAAAAUGCAAAUAUGGUUGUAUUACCUUGAGAAGCAAGUUGAUAAAUUUCUUAUUAUUUUCAUACGGUCUUCCUCAGCUAUAAAGCUUACCCUCUCCUUUUCAUUUCUUUAGUGUUGUCAAGUUAGCUCGGGGUUGGAGAUCGUCGGAGGCAGAUCACACUAUCAAGCCAUCACCUUUAGAGUAUUGACAUAUGUGUAUUAAGCACCUUCAAGUGAGUGACAUGUAUAGGGACUUAGUUUUUAUGAUAGAUGUUGUUAUGAUUAACCAAAUGUAUUGACUUAUAUUGAUUCAUUGUAUAUAGCCAUGAGAUGUGGCUUAUAAUGAUUGUGGUUUGUAAGCCUAGUUAUUCAUGAUAAGUUCUACUGCUUGCGAUGCGAUGAUGUUUUCUAUGCUUGUGGGACAUACAUGACUGGUGUUAAGAAAUGUGUGCAUGAUAAAUGCUUCAUGACCAAUCAAAAUGGUUAUAGUCAUGAAGUAAUUGUAUGGUAUAUAAAUAAGACAAUGAUGAUUGAACAUGAAUGCUUAAUGUUUAAAUAAGGUCACUUGACAAGGUCAAUGAAUA